GAUGAACGCUGGCGGCGUGCCUAAUACAUGCAAGUAGAACGCUGAAGGAGGAGCUUGCUCUUCUGGAUGAGUUGCGAACGGGUGAGUAACGCGUAGGUAACCUGCCUGGUAGCGGGGGAUAACUAUUGGAAACGAUAGCUAAUACCGCAUGACAACAGUUAUUGCAUGAUAACUGUUUAAAAGGGGCAACUGCUCCACUACCAGAUGGACCUGCGUUGUAUUAGCUAGUUGGUGAGGUAACGGCUCACCAAGGCGACGAUACAUAGCCGACCUGAGAGGGUGAUCGGCCACACUGGGACUGAGACACGGCCCAGACUCCUACGGGAGGCAGCAGUAGGGAAUCUUCGGCAAUGGACGGAAGUCUGACCGAGCAACGCCGCGUGAGUGAAGAAGGUUUUCGGAUCGUAAAGCUCUGUUGUAAGAGAAGAACGAGUGUGAGAGUGGAAAGUUCACACUGUGACGGGAUCUUACCAGAAAAGGACGGCUAACUACGU
Molecule: ribosomal RNA, 494 nt
Filed under: uncultured bacterium
Lineage: Bacteria
Description: partial 16S ribosomal RNA
Rfam family: Bacterial small subunit ribosomal RNA
Source: RNAcentral